AGUGGCGGACGGGUGAGUAACACAUGGGAAUCUGCCUUUUAGUGGGGGAUAACGUAGGGAAACUUACGCUAAUACCGCAUACGCUCUACGGAGGAAAGGGGGGGGAUCGCAAGACCUCUCGCUAAAAGAUGAGCCCAUGUCUGAUUAGCUAGUUGGUGGGGUAAGGGCCUACCAAGGCGACGAUCAGUAGCCGGCCUGAGAGGGUGUACGGCCACACUGGGACUGAGACACGGCCCAGACUCCUACGGGAGGCAGCAGUGGGGAAUAUUGGACAAUGGGCGAAAGCCUGAUCCAGCAAUGCCGCGUGUGUGAAGAAGGCCUUCGGGUUGUAAAGCACUUUAAGUGGGAAAGAAGUGCAUUCAAUUAGUACCUGGAUACAUUGACGUUACCCACAGAAUAAGCACCGGCUAACUCCGUGCCACCAGCCGCGGUAAUACGGAGGGUGCGAGCGUUAAUCGGAAUUACUGGGCGUAGAGCGUAUGUAGGCGGUUUGAUCAUCUCGGAUGUGAAUCCCCGAGCUUAACUUGGGAAUGGCGUCGAUACUGUCUGGCUAUAUUAGUCUACUAGGAAAGGGGAAU
This 578-nucleotide ribosomal RNA is filed under the name uncultured bacterium. RNAcentral describes it as "bacterial SSU rRNA". It matches the Rfam family "Bacterial small subunit ribosomal RNA", at positions 94 to 667 of the family's 1533-position model. The record is from RNAcentral.